UGACUGCGCUCUCAAUCAGUU
RNAcentral lists this non-coding RNA (21 nucleotides) under Caenorhabditis elegans. Lineage: Eukaryota; Metazoa; Nematoda; Chromadorea; Rhabditida; Rhabditidae. The record is from RNAcentral.